This 460-nucleotide ribosomal RNA is filed under the name uncultured bacterium. RNAcentral describes it as "partial 16S ribosomal RNA". It matches the Rfam family "Bacterial small subunit ribosomal RNA", at positions 338 to 795 of the family's 1533-position model. The record is from RNAcentral.
CCUACGGGAGGCAGCAGUGAGGCAUAUUGGUCAAUGGACGAGAGUCUGAACCAGCCAAGUAGCGUGAAGGAUGACUGCCCUAUGGGUUGUAAACUUCUUUUAUAUGGGAAUAAAAUGUUCCACGUGUGGGAUUUUGUCUGUACCAUAUGAAUAAGGAUCGGCUAACUCCGUGCCAGCAGCCGCGGUAAUACGGAGGAUCCGAGCGUUAUCCGGAUUUAUUGGGUUUAAAGGGAGCGUAGGUGGAUUGUUAAGUCAGUUGUGAAAGUUUGCGGCUCAACCGUAAAAUUGCAGUUGAAACUGGCAGUCUUGAGUACAGUAGAGGUGGGCGGAAUUCGUGGUGUAGCGGUGAAAUGCUUAGAUAUCACGAAGAACUCCGAUUGCGAAGGCAGUUCACUGGACUGCAACUGACACUGAGGCUCGAAAGUGUGGGUAUCAAACAGGAUUAGAUACCCGAGUAGUC